GUACUGAAACGUGCAUAUGAAGGAGGAUUUAGCAGUAAGCAGGAAAUAGAGCGUCCCGCUGAAACUGGCCCUGAAGCGCGCACACACCGCCCGUCACUCUCCCCAAAGACGCCAAGCAAAUUAACUAAAACCUAACAAUUAACAAGGGGAGGCAAGUCGUAACAUGGUAAGUGUACCGGAAGGUGCGCUUGGAAAAAUC
RNAcentral lists this ribosomal RNA (199 nucleotides) under Chitonotus pugetensis. RNAcentral's name for it is "partial 12S ribosomal RNA". It matches the Rfam family "Bacterial small subunit ribosomal RNA", at positions 1302 to 1533 of the family's 1533-position model. The record is from RNAcentral. Lineage: Eukaryota; Metazoa; Chordata; Actinopteri; Perciformes; Cottidae.